AUGGAUGACCAAGUUUACUUAUUACUUUAUGAAGAUGAUGAUUCCUGCAUGUUGAUUGUGCUUCAAGGUCGAAGAGGAUGGGAGGAGGGGAAGUGCGCUCUAUAUUUUGUUAUGCACACCUUUCUAAACUAUACUUGUCUUCUUAACACAUGUUCAUUGUCCAGUAGAAGCUGUAGAUUUCAGCGUACAAUAAUUUCCAAAACGGUAGAAGGUGUUACUAAUAUGGUGAGUGAUUUAAGGGGAGGCAUGGGGAGAAGAGCAGUCCAAAUGGUGGAUGGAGCAUGUGACCUGUUGAUGUUAGUUUCCAUUUUCGGAAAGAACAAAUUUUCUAUAAUUUGA
RNAcentral lists this ribosomal RNA (339 nucleotides) under Triticum aestivum (bread wheat). Its description in RNAcentral is "partial small subunit ribosomal RNA". The record is from RNAcentral. Lineage: Eukaryota; Viridiplantae; Streptophyta; Magnoliopsida; Poales; Poaceae.